CUGGAGACGCCAAUGACUGGGUGAAAUUUAUCAAGAUGUUUGUGAGAAUUUCUUGAUUAUAUAAUACAGCAGUGACUUGGACAAGACUUAGUCAUCUUGAUUUCUGUGUUUUGUUAAAAAGUUGCCUGAAUGCCAUUCUAAGUACAAGGCAUAGCAAUUCAUCCAUGUCUUAGCAGCCAUGUUCUGAUUUGUUGAUGAAUUUACUUACACUUGUACUGACCCUCUUUUUUUUCCAGAGUACCUGCUUUAACUGUCUGCCAACCUCAUCAAAGGGCCACUGUCAUUAGAAACGAACAUGCUCAGAAUGCUGACCUUCCACGAAAAUACUCAAAAAGGGAGAAGAAACCAUUUCCUAUACCAGUGCUGGAGUUAAGACGCCGAGCAAAGGAGAGGAUGAAGGCAGCACAAGGGAAACCAAAACGUCCACUGCCUCCACCAAAAAAUGGAAUGCUAAUCCGUAGACUGAUACCAGUUGCCUACAAAGUGUACAAUGCAAGAAUUUUGCUGAUCAACAACUUGAGGAAGCUUAUGAAAGUAGUACCUGUAAAAGGCUGCAAGUAAUUCCCGUUUCCCAUCAUUUACUGAUUAUUAUUUGUUACAGAUCAUGCUUAUGUGUACCAUAGAAUGGAUCUAAACCAAGAUAACACAAUUGGAUGCAUAUAAAGCAACAAACUGUGUGCCAACACAGCCUUGUUCAUGGCAACGGAUGAAAAAGAACAUUAUUAUUUGGCAAUUUUGCUUACAUGUUAUAUGUUAGCUGCUCAGUUGAUCAAGUGUGCUAAUUACUAUAAUGGAUAACAUACUUAAGCAUAUGGUCAUCUUAGAUUAUGCAAUACGAACUUAGCAUCUGGAAAGCCGCAUCUGUUAUUUGCAAUAAUGGUGUUUUUUUUUACUUGGGCUAGAUUCUGUUAUAGAACACUUAUGCCUAAUCGAGGAUACACUCUUCCACUGGUUCAGGAGUUUUUGGAUUAUGCUCAGUCUGUUUGUCUUGGAACACUGCACUAAGUCGGGCCAGGGAAGUAGGAUGAAAGUCCCAAUGAAACCUUUACACUGUAGAAAGUAAAAGCUCAUGGUCAUGCUAGAUGAACUAGAUGCUCAUAUGUGCUUGAUCAGUUCCCUAUGUCCUAAUUAGCACAUUCACAUGUGAUUUUUUCUGUUGCAGAUAUUGCAGUGAGAUACAUGUUGGAUCUGUUGGACAUCCUUUCCGAACAUGCCGAGGAAUGUUGUCAAAUCAACGUAGGGGAGAGCAUGAGUGGGGAAGUACUUUAGCGGAAGCUGUUUUCUUACCUGUUGAAGCCUACCAUCUAGAGGACCGUCUUGGGAAUCGUAUCCCGCAUGAUCGGAGGUUUGCUGUACCCCGCAUUCCCGCUCUUGUGGAACUUUGCAUCCAAGCUGGAGUUGACCUCCCUGAGUAUCCCACAAAGCGUCGAAGAAAGCCAAUCAUUAAAAUUGGAAGAAACGAGUUUGUUGAUGCAGAUGAAGAUGACCUACCAGAACCAGAGCCUGACAGAUUUAAGCAGACACUUCUUGAAGAACUACAAUCCGAUGAAAUUGUCUCUCCAUCUAGCCCGGAGGAGACAGUGGCUCUUGCCGAGGAGACACUCGAAGCAUGGGAGACUGUCAGGGAUGGCGCCUUGAAGCUAAUGAAGGGCUAUGCUGUGAGGGUUUGUGGAUACUGCCCUGAGGUGCAUAUCGGACCAACUGGCCACAAAGCACGGAACUGUGGGGCCUUCAAGCAUCAGCAGAGGAAUGGACAGCAUGGAUGGCAAGCAGCAGUGCUCGAUGACCUAAUACCUCCUAGAUAUGUGUGGCACAUGCCAGAAUCUGGGGAGGAACUGCAGAGAGAGCUGAAGACAUUCUAUGGGCAGGCACCCGCCGUUGUUGAGAUAUGCAUUCAGGGUGGCGCCAAAGUGCCAGAGAAGU
Molecule: long non-coding RNA, 1923 nt
Filed under: Setaria viridis
Lineage: Eukaryota; Viridiplantae; Streptophyta; Magnoliopsida; Poales; Poaceae
Description: long non-coding RNA (SVIR_LNC001094)
Source: RNAcentral